RNAcentral lists this ribosomal RNA (378 nucleotides) under Triticum aestivum (bread wheat). RNAcentral describes it as "partial small subunit ribosomal RNA". The record is from RNAcentral. Lineage: Eukaryota; Viridiplantae; Streptophyta; Magnoliopsida; Poales; Poaceae.
AUGUGUAACCAGGCCACUGCUAGGUAUGUUCUUUUUUCAGGUUGGGUAAAAAAGCACUCGACACGAGUCUACCGAGGGCGUCGUCGGCUUAGACACGGUAGACUCGAGGGCAUUGCCAGAAGUCUGCAGGAGGUGCAGCAGAGAGGUCCUAGCGACCACGGCGGCACAUCCGCGGCUGGUCCACCUCAGGCUGCUUCUCCACCACCAAGUGCUUGCCCCGCGUGUGCUUCUUUUCUCCCAGGAGUGGACCGUAGUCAUGGAGAGCGGCCAGAGGAGCAAGGACGGUCAGCCCCUGCCUCCUUUCUUGCACGGCUGCACGUGAUGGGGAUUACGAGCGACAUACGUGAUUUUGCAAGUACAGGUGAUAAAGAUUCAUGA